GGAUGUGAGGGCAAUCUGGCUGCGACAUCUGUCACCCUAUUGAUCGCCAGGGUUGAUUCGGCUGAUCUGGCUGGCUAGGCGGGUGUCCCCCUCCUCCCUCACUGAUCCAUGUGCAUCCCUCCUGAAGCUGCGCACUCGGUCGAAGAGGACGACCUUCCCCCCAGAGGAGAGGACCGGUCUUCGGUCCAGGGUAUACGAGUAGCUGGGCUCCCCUGCUAGAACUCCAAACAAGCUCUCAAAGAAUAGACUUCAUGUAAUUCAUUCAAAACCCUGACCUUCUGAGCAUCCCAUAGAGUCCAAUACCUAGGCCGCCAGAGAUG
Molecule: small nuclear RNA, 320 nt
Filed under: Myotis brandtii (Brandt's bat)
Lineage: Eukaryota; Metazoa; Chordata; Mammalia; Chiroptera; Vespertilionidae
Description: 7SK RNA
Rfam family: 7SK RNA
About the family: 7SK was discovered as an abundant small nuclear RNA in the mid-70s but a possible function has only recently been suggested. Two independent studies have found that 7SK RNA binds the CDK9/cyclin T complex (known as elongation factor P-TEFb). P-TEFb activates transcription by phosphorylating the C-terminal domain of RNA polymerase II.
Source: Rfam by way of RNAcentral